This is a long non-coding RNA of Homo sapiens (human), 632 nucleotides long. Ensembl annotates it as leucine rich repeat containing 37 member A5, pseudogene. Its record names the gene LRRC37A5P. The record is from Ensembl. Lineage: Eukaryota; Metazoa; Chordata; Mammalia; Primates; Hominidae.
AUGAUAGUCCAAAGUUCUCCCACAAUGCCUGUGAGCUCCCUGGGCUUGCCUCCUCCUGCGUCCUGCUAGCUAUUUUUAAAUGUGACCAGUUUGAAAUUCAGCUAAACCAGCAGCUAUGGUCCCUCAUCCCCAACAACGAUGUGAGAAGGCUUGUUUCUCAUGUUAUCCGGACCUUGAAGACGGACUGCACUGAGACCCAUUUGCAACUGGCCUGUGCCAAGCUCAUCUCUAGGACAGGCCUCCUAAUGAAGCUUCUCAGUGAGCAGCAAGAAUUGAGAACUGUAUCAAUGACAGCAUGGAAGCCCAGAAUGAACAGAAAGAGCAGAAGUCGAAUGAGAUAUUCCUUCAGGUCCUGAUAUGGAAGAAACUACUGAUGUCAGCUGAAGGACCACACUGAUGCAGCUGUCCUGAAGGACUCCCCGAGGAGCUACCUCAUCAAAAAAUACAGUUUCCACUUUGCGAUGAUUUUAUCCCCCUUGCCCCAACCGACCAGCAACCCCAAUUUUCCAGCCCCUCACUCUCCACAAUCCUCUUAAAGCCCCAGGCCAGAACUUCUUGGGAGACAGAUUUGAGGGUUUCCUUCCACUUCCUUGCUGGGUGGCCUGUGAUCAUUAAACUCUUUCUUUGCUGCA